RNAcentral lists this ribosomal RNA (118 nucleotides) under Pteropus vampyrus (large flying fox). Lineage: Eukaryota; Metazoa; Chordata; Mammalia; Chiroptera; Pteropodidae. The record is from RNAcentral.
UCACUAAAGCAAAGAGAGAAAGGACCCCGAUCUCAUUCGAUCUCGGAAGCUAAGCAUGGUCAGACCUGGUUAGUACGUGGAUGGGAGUCCACCUAGCAAUACCAGGUACUGUAGGCAU